Long non-coding RNA from Glycine soja, 315 nucleotides. RefSeq lists it as uncharacterized. Lineage: Eukaryota; Viridiplantae; Streptophyta; Magnoliopsida; Fabales; Fabaceae. The transcript is spliced from 3 exons. The record is from RefSeq and is a predicted model, not a curated record.
GCAAGGACUGAAAUAUCUCCUGCUGAGUGGUGGAAAUUGUAUGGAGGAAAAACACCACACUUGCAAACCAUUGCCAUUAAAGUUCUAAGUUUGACUUGUAGCUCAUCAGGAUGUGAGCGUAAUUGGAGUACCUUUGAGCAUAUUCACUCAAAGAAGAGAAGUAGGCUUGAGCACCAAAAGCUUCAAGAUUUGGUUUAUGUUAAGUAUAAUCAAGCUCUUCUAGAUCGCUUUGAGUGUCAUGAUGUGAUUGAUCCUAUUGCUUUAAAUGAUAUUGAUGAUAGCAAUGAGUGGUUAUUGGGAGAAUUGGAAGGAGAA